UACGUAGGGAGCAAGCGUUGUCCGGAAUUAUUGGGCGUAAAGCGCGUGUAGGCGGCAUGGCAAGUCGGGUGUGAAAGCCCUCAGCUCAACUGAGGAAGUGCGCCCGAAACUGCUUUGCUUGAGUGCUGGAGAGGGUCGCGGAAUUCCCCAAGUAGAGGUGAAAUUCGUAGAUAUGGGGAGGAACACCGGUGGCGAAGGCGGCGACCUGGUCCUUGACUGACGCUGAGGCGCGAAAGCGUGGGGAGCAAACAGGG
This 254-nucleotide ribosomal RNA is filed under the name uncultured bacterium. Its description in RNAcentral is "partial 16S ribosomal RNA". It matches the Rfam family "Bacterial small subunit ribosomal RNA", at positions 524 to 777 of the family's 1533-position model. The record is from RNAcentral.